Molecule: ribosomal RNA, 244 nt
Filed under: uncultured bacterium
Lineage: Bacteria
Description: partial 16S ribosomal RNA
Rfam family: Bacterial small subunit ribosomal RNA
Source: RNAcentral
CGACCUUGAGCAAAUCCCAAAAAUAACGUCCCAGUUCGGAUUGUAGCCUGCAACCCGGCUACAUGAAGCUGGAAUCGCUAGUAAUCGCAGAUCAGAAUGCUGCGGUGAAUACGUUCCCGGGUCUUGUACACACCGCCCGUCACACCAUGGGAGCCGGGAAUGCCCGAAGUCGGUGAACCCAACCGUAAGGAGGGAGCCGCCGAAGGCAGGCCUGGUAACUGGGGUGAAGUCGUAACAAGGUAAC